GCCCACCUGGCGCAAUGGUUAGCGCAUCUGACUUCUAUGGUCCUCCAAGACAGCUAUCAGAAGGCUCUGAGUUCGAGUCUCAGGGUGGGUG
This 91-nucleotide transfer RNA is filed under the name Drechslerella stenobrocha 248. It matches the Rfam family "tRNA". From Rfam's summary of the family: Transfer RNA (tRNA) molecules are approximately 80 nucleotides in length. Their secondary structure includes four short double-helical elements and three loops (D, anti-codon, and T loops). The record is from Rfam by way of RNAcentral. Lineage: Eukaryota; Fungi; Ascomycota; Orbiliomycetes; Orbiliales; Orbiliaceae.